CUUUGAUAACAAACAAAACACUGGUGCCUUAUAGGCGGUUAUGCCUUUUAAUUCCUCGAUUCAGGUAAAGUCAGUGUUUCAGUUUGGAUGCUAUGGCAACCGAGCAUUCUAAGCCUGUCACCGGAAUAUGUUACAGUGGACAUUAAUUCAUCAAAAUGCUUAACAUACUGCGGGGGGGAGGCACAUGAUUUUUGAACAGCCAAUAAGCUACUGCUGAGUACAUUUCCUUGAUAAAUCCAGGCCUCAGCAGCACUCUUGUGUGAAAUAGCCAUGUGUACGUUUCUUCCUUUUGGAGAUUGCAGAUAAACCUCUCUCUGCCUCUGUGCAACCUCUAAAUUAUCGGUGAUGGUCAGGAACGAGUUCUCCUUGAAGCAGAAAGUAGAGCUGAUUCCCCAAAGCGAAAGCAAGAGCCAGAGUCAGCGGAAAUCCUGCAAACCUACGAAGGCAACCGGGACACGGCUCGGAAAAGGUUGUGUGUUCGCAUGGUUACCUCAGCCUGGUUCUGUACCGCUGGUUGCAGCAAGUCCGAGCCCAGGGGCUAGCGGUCAAUAAAUAGGCCCGUCAUUCUGAAAGCAGCGCUGCACUUCGCCAAAGAGCUGGGCAUCCCGCACUUUAAGGCUUCCAACAGCUGGCUCCGAAGUUUCCGCAGCCGCAACAACAUCGGCUUUGAACGCUUUGGCGACCAGAGCACUGGGAUCCGGCGAGCCACACCUUGUCCUGCAGCAAUGCCGUCUAGAGGCGCUUUUAAACAUUUUCAGUUCCGCUCUGAUUGAGCGAGCAGGAUUUUCCUGACUCUCUGAAUGAAUUGCAGCCCGCCGUCCUGAGCUUGAACAGGGCAUUUGUUGGUUAUAAAGAGCUGCCAGCAGGGUAAAGGGCGAGUUAACCUUUCAGACGUUUCAGGCAAAGUUGUCAGGACGUACCAGCUAUUCUCCUGUGGUGCUGCCCUCAUCUUCUCUGAAUGCAGGUUCUCCUGUUUGGGUUGGGUCAGAAAACGAGGCAGUGCCUGGCCCGGCUGAUCUCGCUGUGGCAUCUGCUGAAUGGUCUGCUACCUCAGCAUCCAGCAACUGUCAGAGCAUGGGAAAGGAUUUGUAUUCACCAUCCAAUGCUGUAUCCACAUCAACCAGCUCCAACUGCCAAAGCUCUGUCCAUGAGCUCCCACAAUGAUUCUUAAUCUUGGCAUGUUCCUAAAUGAUCCUUGGAAUUAGGGAUAAGCAAUAAAUGACAGUGCCAUCCACAUCCCAUGAGUGAAUUUUUAGAAAGUCAUACACCUCAACAACAACUUACUAUUAACAGAGCAUCUUUAACAGCGUAAAACAUCCCAAGUUCUUGUGUUCAAGGCACUUCACAGGAGUGCUGUCAAACAAAGUUUAAUGCUGAGCCAUAUUUGGAGAUAUUAGAUGAUUGAAAUCUUGGUCAGAGAGGUAGUUAAAAUGGAGCAUUAGAGAGAGAGUGUGACAGUUUUGACAAGGGAAUUCUAGAGCUUAGGGCUUUAGUAACUGCUGGAAUGAUGAGCUAUGGAGGUGCGCAAUAAGGCAGAAAUAGAGGGACACACUGAUGCCAGAGGGUGGUAGGAUUGGAGGAGAAUAGAGAGGCAAGGAGGGCCAAGGCCCUGGAAGGAUUUGAAAAGAUGGAUGGUGAUUUUAAAACUGAGGAGUUGCUGGGCUCUGAGCCACUAAAUCAGUGGGCAUGUGUGUGGUGGGUCAUUAGGACAGGGAUAGGAAACCAACCAUAAGAACAUUGUCAAAUCCAGAGGUCACUGAAUUGUGAACAUAUUGAAUUGCAUAAUGACUGUCAGUCUCAUUGAAGGUCUUGUGCCAUGAACGUAGAUAUCAUAUCUGCCUGAAUGGUCGAAUAGUAUUUACAGAGAAGCAGGACAUAGCUGUUAACUAACCAUGACUGAUUAUUCAACCUUUAUUAUCUGUCUUCCUAUCUUUGCAAUAAGAUUUGGGCAGCACUGUGGCUCAAUGGUUAGCACUGCUGCCUCAAAGCGCCAGGGACCCGGGUUCAAUUCCACCCUC
Rhincodon typus (whale shark) is the source of this 2018-nucleotide RNA transcript. RefSeq lists it as uncharacterized. The record is from RefSeq and is a predicted model, not a curated record. The transcript has 2 exons. NCBI's taxonomy places the organism in Eukaryota, Metazoa, Chordata, Chondrichthyes, Orectolobiformes, Rhincodontidae.